UCCAAGCAGCGUGCAGCGCUAGCAGGGGAUCGACCCCGGGCUUCCCGAGAUCCUCUGCUCGCGAGGCAGGCUCCACCUCAGGUGCCUCCCUGCAGCCGCGCCAUGGGCAUCGGCCACCUCCCAGGUCGGCACGUCGGAGCCUCUCCUUCCCCUACCCUCUCUGCUUUUCUCUUCUCCCAUCUCUGCUAAGCUCUCUCUUCUCUCGUUGACCAGGGCAGAGGAACCCGUCGCCGCCUUGAUGGAGGUCGCCGUCCGCGCCUCCCCAAGAUCCCUCGUCGUCGGGAAUGGGUGGCCCGAGCCCGGAUCUGCCCAUCCCGAGCCUUUCCCGUUCGUUUCUCAAGCCGUCACGCGCUGCCGGCUGAGUCAACUUGCUGUUGACCGCGCCCUGUGCUCCCUCUCGUGCUGCAGGAGCUCCAACCAGGGCCCGAUGCUCAAGCUGCACCACGCCGCCACCGACUGACUCCGGGAAUGGUUGGACCCGUGCUCUCCUCACCCGUUCAGCCGAUGCGUCGAUGAACCAACCAGCUGCAGCAGCAGGUCCCUAUGCCUCACUCUUCUUCUUCCUCCCCUGCUCUCCCCCUCUUUCUGAAUUUUUUCUCUGAACUUGUCUGAAUCAGCACCUGCAGGAGCCCCAUGGCUGCCGUCUCGUCGCCGUGAACCUCACCGUCGGAGCCCUUCCAGCCGGAUCCGCACCCGACCGUACCCCCCUAUCCAUUCCCGGCCUCCGAGUCCGCCAUCUUCGCCGAAGCAUCGCGCCGUCGACCUCUGCAUCCCCAUUGUGAGCAGUCCUCCCGAUCUGAAUUCAGUCUCCUCUAGAUCCGUUCUGGCAAGGACAUGUUGUCUAUAGUGGGCACUGGUCCUGUCAACGAGUUGUAGGCUAGCUGAGUUGGCUAGCGCAGCCAACUGCUGUGAUGGAGGUCCCCGGUUCGACUCCCGUGCGCCCCAGAUUUUAUGUUUCAUUUUCUUUUGUGGUGCACCAGCUCAUAUUUGUUCCCGUCUUGGCUAGUUGAUAUACAUUCGAAUUCCUUUCAUGCUAGUAACAGAGUUUAGUGCAGUGGCUAGCAACCUUAUUUUCAAAUGAGAGGUCCAGGGAUCAUAUCCCCAUCAGUGCAUAUUAUUUUUUUUAGGAAUUUUGCCUCCAGCGCACCAGCUUCUGUCAUACUUGUGGAUGUGCUGUUUUGUCAAUUUUGAAACAACCACUUAAUUAGUCUGGUG
Molecule: long non-coding RNA, 1215 nt
Filed under: Hordeum vulgare
Lineage: Eukaryota; Viridiplantae; Streptophyta; Magnoliopsida; Poales; Poaceae
Description: long non-coding RNA (HVUL_LNC015224)
Source: RNAcentral